RNAcentral lists this ribosomal RNA (253 nucleotides) under uncultured bacterium. RNAcentral describes it as "partial 16S ribosomal RNA". It matches the Rfam family "Archaeal small subunit ribosomal RNA", at positions 474 to 727 of the family's 1478-position model. The record is from RNAcentral.
UACCAGCACCUCGAGUGGUCAGGACGAUUAUUGGGCCUAAAGCAUCCGUAGCUGGUUUUGCAAGUCUCCGGUUAAAUCCACCUGCUUAACAGAUGGGCCGCUGGAGAUACUACAAGACUAGGGAGUGGGAGAGGCAGACGGUAUUCGGGGGGUAGGGGUAAAAUCCUCUGAUCCUUUGAGGACCACCAGUGGCGAAGGCGGUCUGCCAGAACACGUUCGACAGUGAGGGAUGAAAGCUGGGGGAGCAAACCGG